RNAcentral lists this ribosomal RNA (499 nucleotides) under uncultured bacterium. RNAcentral describes it as "SSU rRNA". It matches the Rfam family "Bacterial small subunit ribosomal RNA", at positions 26 to 521 of the family's 1533-position model. The record is from RNAcentral.
AGAUUGAACGCUGGCGGCGUGCCUAACACAUGCAAGUCGAGCGGCAGCGCGGUAGCAAUACUGGCGGCGAGCGGCGAACGGGUGAGUAAUACUUUGGAAUCUUCCCAGUAGUGGGGAAUAACCAGUCGAAAGAUUGGCUAAUACCGCAUACGUCUGAAAAGGGAAAGCGGGGGCUCGUAAGACCUCGCGCUAUUGGAUGAGCCAAAGUCGGAUUAGCUAGUUGGUGGGGUAAUGGCCUACCAAGGCGACAAUCCGUAGCUGGUCUGAGAGGACGACCAGCCACACCGGAACUGAGACACGGUCCGGACUCCUACGGGAGGCAGCAGUGGGGAAUAUUGGACAAUGGGGGAAACCCUGAUCCAGCGACGCCGCGUGUGUGAAGAAGGCCUGCGGGUUGUAAAGCACUUUUAGUGGGGACAAAAAGCUACGGAUUAAUACUUCGUGGUCUUGAUUUAACCCAAAGAAAAGCACCGGCUAACUCUGCGCCAGCAGCCGCGGU